UACAGAGGUCCCAAGCGUUGUUCGGAUUUACUGGGCGUAAAGGGCGCGUAGGCGGCGUGGUAAGUCACUUGUGAAAUCUCUGAGCUUAACUCAGAACGGCCAAGUGAUACUGCUGUGCUAGAGUGCAGAAGGGGCAAUCGGAAUUCUUGGUGUAGCGGUGAAAUGCGUAGAUAUCAAGAGGAACACCUGAGGUGAAGACGGGUUGCUGGGCUGACACUGACGCUGAUGCGCGAAAGCUAGGGGAGCAAACGGG
RNAcentral lists this ribosomal RNA (253 nucleotides) under uncultured bacterium. Its description in RNAcentral is "partial 16S ribosomal RNA". It matches the Rfam family "Bacterial small subunit ribosomal RNA", at positions 524 to 776 of the family's 1533-position model. The record is from RNAcentral.